Molecule: ribosomal RNA, 921 nt
Filed under: Escherichia coli
Lineage: Bacteria; Pseudomonadati; Pseudomonadota; Gammaproteobacteria; Enterobacterales; Enterobacteriaceae
Description: partial 23S ribosomal RNA
Rfam family: Bacterial large subunit ribosomal RNA
Source: RNAcentral
GCCCCGGUAAACGGCGGCCGUAACUAUAACGGUCCUAAGGUAGCGAAAUUCCUUGUCGGGUAAGUUCCGACCUGCACGAAUGGCGUAAUGAUGGCCAGGCUGUCUCCACCCGAGACUCAGUGAAAUUGAACUCGCUGUGAAGAUGCAGUGUACCCGCGGCAAGACGGAAAGACCCCGUGAACCUUUACUAUAGCUUGACACUGAACAUUGAGCCUUGAUGUGUAGGAUAGGUGGGAGGCUUUGAAGUGUGGACGCCAGUCUGCAUGGAGCCGACCUUGAAAUACCACCCUUUAAUGUUUGAUGUUCUAACGUUGGCCCGUAAUCCGGGUUGCGGACAGUGUCUGGUGGGUAGUUUGACUGGGGCGGUCUCCUCCUAAAGAGUAACGGAGGAGCACGAAGGUUGGCUAAUCCUGGUCGGACAUCAGGAGGUUAGUGCAAUGGCAUAAGCCAGCUUGACUGCGAGCGUGACGGCGCGAGCAGGUGCGAAAGCAGGUCAUAGUGAUCCGGUGGUUCUGAAUGGAAGGGCCAUCGCUCAACGGAUAAAAGGUACUCCGGGGAUAACAGGCUGAUACCGCCCAAGAGUUCAUAUCGACGGCGGUGUUUGGCACCUCGAUGUCGGCUCAUCACAUCCUGGGGCUGAAGUAGGUCCCAAGGGUAUGGCUGUUCGCCAUUUAAAGUGGUACGCGAGCUGGGUUUAGAACGUCGUGAGACAGUUCGGUCCCUAUCUGCCGUGGGCGCUGGAGAACUGAGGGGGGCUGCUCCUAGUACGAGAGGACCGGAGUGGACGCAUCACUGGUGUUCGGGUUGUCAUGCCAAUGGCACUGCCCGGUAGCUAAAUGCGGAAGAGAUAAGUGCUGAAAGCAUCUAAGCACGAAACUUGCCCCGAGAUGAGUUCUCCCUGACUCCUUGAGAGUCCUGAAG